AUUGAACGCUGGCGGCAUGCCUUACACAUGCAAGUCGAACGGCAGCGCGGACUUCGGUCUGGCGGCGAGUGGCGAACGGGUGAGUAAUACAUCGGAACGUACCCUGUUGUGGGGGAUAACUAGUCGAAAGAUUAGCUAAUACCGCAUACGACCUGAGGGUGAAAGUGGGGGACCGCAAGGCCUCACGCAGCAGGAGCGGCCGAUGUCUGAUUAGCUAGUUGGUGGGGUAAAGGCCCACCAAGGCGACGAUCAGUAGCUAGUCUGAGAGGACGAUCAGCCACACUGGGACUGAGACAAGGCCCAGACUCCUACGGGAGGCAGCAGUGGGGAAUUUUGGACAAUGGGGGCAACCCUGAUCCAGCAAUGCCGCGUGUGUGAAGAAGGCCUUCGGGUUGUAAAGCACUUUUGUCCGGAAAGAAAUCGCGCUGGUUAAUACCUGGCGCGGAUGACGGUACCGGAAGAAUAAGCACCGGCUAACUACGUG
This 484-nucleotide ribosomal RNA is filed under the name uncultured bacterium. RNAcentral describes it as "partial 16S ribosomal RNA". It matches the Rfam family "Bacterial small subunit ribosomal RNA", at positions 30 to 507 of the family's 1533-position model. The record is from RNAcentral.